Nematostella vectensis (starlet sea anemone) is the source of this 73-nucleotide non-coding RNA. The record is from Rfam. NCBI's taxonomy places the organism in Eukaryota, Metazoa, Cnidaria, Anthozoa, Actiniaria, Edwardsiidae.
GCCCGGCUAGCUCAGUCGGGAGAGCAUGGGACUCUUAAUCGCAGGGUCGUGGGUUCGAGCCCCACGUUGGGCG